Molecule: ribosomal RNA, 675 nt
Filed under: Triticum aestivum (bread wheat)
Lineage: Eukaryota; Viridiplantae; Streptophyta; Magnoliopsida; Poales; Poaceae
Description: partial small subunit ribosomal RNA
Source: RNAcentral
AUGGGCAUCGCCGGCCUCCCUUCUGACAUCCUCGUGGAGGUGACUGCCAGAAUCGCCGGGGAGUCGACGACGCCCCUGGACGACAUCGUCAGCCUCAGGCGAUCAUGCAAGGUGUUCCGCGACGUGACGGCGGCCAGGGAGGUGGGCCGGUGCAUGGCGGUGGACAAGGAGUGGCGUCUGCACUGGUGGGACAAGGAGAGGUUCCUCUCGGUGCUCGGGGAGUGCGCGGCCACCGGCAACCCCGAAGCGUCCUACAUCCUCGGCCUGGAGGAAAUCUGCAACCGGAGGGGAAAGGAGAGCGGGCUCCGGCACCUCCACCGCGCCAUGAAGCACGGCCAUGCCGUCGCGGCCUACACCAUCGGCAUGAUUAUGCUGCGCGACGCCUACAAUCCCGAAGGUAUCGAGGAGGCAAUGGGAUAUCUGGAGGGAUGCUCUGCAGCAAGAACAAAGAGCAACAUCAAGAUUGCCUCCGUACGCAGAGAGGCCGCUUCGGUCAUGAGAAGGCUGACGAUGCGCCGCUGGAGGACGGCCGAGCCUGCCGCGCCCUGCGCCGACCCGCGGUGCGGGGAGAUGGAGACGGCGGAGGCCUGGGACGAGGACGACGAACAGAGGAGGUUCUGCAGCCGGCUGUGCAAAUGGAAACAUGAAUACCGCAAAUUUGUGCAGUGGAUUUAA